RNAcentral lists this ribosomal RNA (396 nucleotides) under Rhodobacter sp. JA782. Its description in RNAcentral is "bacterial SSU rRNA". It matches the Rfam family "Bacterial small subunit ribosomal RNA", at positions 72 to 511 of the family's 1533-position model. The record is from RNAcentral. Lineage: Bacteria; Pseudomonadati; Pseudomonadota; Alphaproteobacteria; Rhodobacterales.
AAGUCUUCGGACUUAGCGGCGGACGGGUGAGUAACGCGUGGGAACGUGCCCUUUGCUUCGGAAUAGCCCCGGGAAACUGGGAGUAAUACCGAAUGUGCCCUUUGGGGGAAAGAUUUAUCGGCAAAGGAUCGGCCCGCGUUGGAUUAGGUAGUUGGUGGGGUAAUGGCCUACCAAGCCGACGAUCCAUAGCUGGUUUGAGAGGAUGAUCAGCCACACUGGGACUGAGACACGGCCCAGACUCCUACGGGAGGCAGCAGUGGGGAAUCUUAGACAAUGGGCGCAAGCCUGAUCUAGCCAUGCCGCGUGAUCGAUGAAGGCCUUAGGGUUGUAAAGAUCUUUCAGGUGGGAAGAUAAUGACGGUACCACCAGAAGAAGCCCCGGCUAACUCCGUGCCAG